This 241-nucleotide ribosomal RNA is filed under the name uncultured Actinomycetales bacterium. Its description in RNAcentral is "partial 16S ribosomal RNA". It matches the Rfam family "Bacterial small subunit ribosomal RNA", at positions 89 to 334 of the family's 1533-position model. The record is from RNAcentral. Lineage: Bacteria; Bacillati; Actinomycetota; Actinomycetes; Actinomycetales.
ACUCGAGUGGCGAACGGGUGAGUAACACGUGGGUGAUCUGCCCUGCACUUCGGGAUAAGCCUGGGAAACUGGGUCUAAUACCGGAUAGGAGCCAUUUUUAGUGUGAUGGCUGGAAAGUUUUUCGGUGUAGGAUGAGCUCGCGGCCUAUCAGCUUGUUGGUGGGGUAGUGGCCUACCAAGGCGGCGACGGGUAGCCGGCCUGAGAGGGUGACCGGCCACAUUGGAACUGAGAAACGGUCCAA